GACGAACGCUGGCGGCGUGCCUAAUACAUGCAAGUGGGACGCAAGGGAACACACUGUGCUUGCACACCGUGUUUUCUUGAGUCGCGAACGGGUGAGUAACGCGUAGGUAACCUGCCUAUUAGCGGGGGAUAACUAUUGGAAACGAUAGCUAAUACCGCAUAAUAUUAAUUAUUGCAUGAUAAUUGAUUGAAAGAUGCAAGCGCAUCACUAGUAGAUGGACCUGCGUUGUAUUAGCUAGUUGGUAAGGUAAGAGCUUACCAAGGCGACGAUACAUAGCCGACCUGAGAGGGUGAUCGGCCACACUGGGACUGAGACACGGCCCAGACUCCUACGGGAGGCAGCAGUAGGGAAUCUUCGGCAAUGGACGAAAGUCUGACCGAGCAACGCCGCGUGAGUGAAGAAGGUUUUCGGAUCGUAAAGCUCUGUUGUAAGUCAAGAACGUGUGUGAGAGUGGAAAGUUCACACAGUGACGGUAGCUACCAGAAA
RNAcentral lists this ribosomal RNA (486 nucleotides) under Streptococcus mutans. RNAcentral describes it as "bacterial SSU rRNA". It matches the Rfam family "Bacterial small subunit ribosomal RNA", at positions 28 to 489 of the family's 1533-position model. Lineage: Bacteria; Bacillati; Bacillota; Bacilli; Lactobacillales; Streptococcaceae. The record is from RNAcentral.